UACGAGGGGUCCUAGCGUUGUUCGGAAUUAUUGGGCGUAAAGCGGGUGUAGGCGGCUAGAUAAGUCAGAUGUGAAAGCCCUGGGCUCAACCUAGGAAGCGCAUUUGAUACUAUUUGGCUUGAGUACGGGAGAGGGUAGUGGAAUUCCUGGUGUAGUGGUGAAAUACGUAGAUAUCAGGAGGAACAUCGGUGGCGAAGGCGGCUACCUGGCCCAGUACUGACGCUCAGACCCGAAAGCGUGGGGAGCAAACAGG
Molecule: unclassified non-coding RNA, 253 nt
Filed under: uncultured Pseudobdellovibrionaceae bacterium
Lineage: Bacteria; Pseudomonadati; Bdellovibrionota; Bdellovibrionia; Bdellovibrionales; Pseudobdellovibrionaceae
Description: uncultured Bdellovibrionaceae bacterium contains 16S-23S intergenic spacer region
Rfam family: Bacterial small subunit ribosomal RNA
Source: RNAcentral